UCUAGAGGCUUCGGCAAUGGGGGCAACCCUGACCGAGCGACGCCGCGUGCGGGAUUGAAGGCCUUCGGGUCGUAAACCGCUGUCAGAGGGGAAGAGUGCCCGCCUGGUGAAGGCGGGAGGGACGGUACCCUCAGAGGAAGCCCCGGCUAACUCCGUGCCAGCAGCCGCGGUAAUACGGAGGGGGCAAGCGUUGUUCGGAUUUACUGGGCGUAAAGGGUGUGUAGGCGGCCGCGCAAGUCUGGUGUGAAAUCUUCACCGCUCAACGGGAAGAGGUCACGGGAAACUGCGCGGCUCGAGGAUGGUAGAGGCAAGCGGAAUUCCUGGUGUAGCGGUGGAAUGUGUAGAUAUCAGGAAGAACACCGGUGGCGAAGGCGGCUUGCUGGGCCAUUACUGACGCUGAGACACGAAAGCGUGGGGAGCAAACG
RNAcentral lists this ribosomal RNA (425 nucleotides) under uncultured prokaryote. RNAcentral describes it as "bacterial SSU rRNA". It matches the Rfam family "Bacterial small subunit ribosomal RNA", at positions 355 to 774 of the family's 1533-position model. The record is from RNAcentral.